CUUUCCCUUCCUUCUACUCAUGUUUCAGUUACAAAAGAAUCCCAUCAAACCCAAUGCCCCUGUUUCUCCAUUGAAGAUCAGAGAACGAGCAGUGAUGCCUUACACCCCACAAUCCCCUGCCAUCUUGUCUGAGAUGGAUCCUGGGAUCUGGAGCCGGCUGCCUGAGGAGCUUCUUGAUCUUGUAUUGUCUUUAUUGCCUCUCAAAACGUUCUUGAAUCUGAGAUCCACUUGUAAGCACUUCAGGUCUCUUAUAUUCUCUCCUAUUUUUAUGUCCAAACACUCCUCUUCUGGUUCUCCUUUCUCCUCGUUUCUUCUACUCUCUCACCCUCAGUUUUUCCAUCGCUACUCCUUAUAUGAUUCUUUGAUUGGCACCUGGCGCAAUUUAACUUUAUCCCUCUCUUUUUUGCUACCUUCUUCUUCU
RNAcentral lists this unclassified non-coding RNA (421 nucleotides) under Hevea brasiliensis (rubber tree). The record is from RNAcentral. Lineage: Eukaryota; Viridiplantae; Streptophyta; Magnoliopsida; Malpighiales; Euphorbiaceae.